UCUUAACCGUUCGUCGAUCGUUUAAGCGUUGCCGCCAAAGUUCAAUGCCUGGCCAAGUCAAUCUAGCUCGCAGGAGAGAGAAGCAACUGGGAAAGCCAAUCUUUUAGAGAGAGAAAAAUCCAGUGAGGAGGGAGAGAGAGAGAGAUACUGAGGGAAUGAGACGCUAGAUUUUUUAUUUUGGGAAGUGAAAUUCGUGUGGAAGGAAUAAAAAUGGUGGGGAGUUCACUGUCUGGA
RNAcentral lists this unclassified non-coding RNA (234 nucleotides) under Hevea brasiliensis (rubber tree). Lineage: Eukaryota; Viridiplantae; Streptophyta; Magnoliopsida; Malpighiales; Euphorbiaceae. The record is from RNAcentral.